Molecule: ribosomal RNA, 246 nt
Filed under: uncultured bacterium
Lineage: Bacteria
Description: partial 16S ribosomal RNA
Rfam family: Bacterial small subunit ribosomal RNA
Source: RNAcentral
ACCUAACCGGCGAACGGGUGCGUAACACGUGAGCGACCUGCCAUACCCGCGGGGGAUAGCCGGCCCAACGGCCGGGUAAUACCGCAUACGCUCCCUGGGCCGCAUGGCCGGGGGAGGAAACUUCCGGGGCGGGAUGAGGGGCUCGCGGCCUAUCAGCUAGUUGGCGGGGUAACGGCCCACCAAGGCGUCGACGGGUAGCUGGUCUGAGAGGACGAUCAGCCACACUGGGACUGAGACACGGCCCAG